RNAcentral lists this ribosomal RNA (324 nucleotides) under uncultured eukaryote. Its description in RNAcentral is "partial 18S ribosomal RNA". It matches the Rfam family "Eukaryotic small subunit ribosomal RNA", at positions 1470 to 1796 of the family's 1831-position model. The record is from RNAcentral.
CCCUUAGAUGUUCUGGGCCGCACGCGCGCUACACUGAUGCAUUCAACGAGUUUCUUCCUGGUCCGAGAGGAAUGGGUAACCUUUUGAAAGUGCAUCGUGAUAGGGAUAGACUAUUGCAAUUAUCGGUCUUCAACGAGGAAUUCCUAGUAGACGUAGUUCAUCAGACUGCAUCGAUUACGUCCCUGCCCUUUGUACACACCGCCCGUCGCUCCUACCGAUUGAAUGCUCAGGUGAGCCAUUCGGACUUUCAUCAUGCUGGUUUCCAGUUUUGAUGAAGGAAAGUCUUGCGAACCUUAUCAUUUAGAGGAAGGAGAAGUCGUAACA